Molecule: non-coding RNA, 2936 nt
Organism: Heterocephalus glaber (naked mole-rat)
Lineage: Eukaryota; Metazoa; Chordata; Mammalia; Rodentia; Bathyergidae
Source: RefSeq, a predicted model, not a curated record
UGCAGAAGUGGAGAUGUGUAGAAAGUUAAGGCUUGUAGGAUUCCAAUUCUCAUGACUGUUACCAUCAUGAAAUGAGUAUCCCAGAAGAGGAUACAGCCUUAGAGACCGUCGUGCUCAUUUGCCUCUUGCUGAAGCAGCUGGACUCUCUUCUCUUUGCCUUUCACCUUCACGGGGCAGGAGGAAACUACCGUGGCUUUUGAAGGAGGUUUUGGCAGUUAACAAUCCUUUAUGGAGCAAAGGAUUACGCCAGAUACUAGGAAAGAUACAAAGACGAGUGAAACACAACUGCGUCCUCGGAGGAGUUUACAAUCUGAUGUGCACCAGGAAUGCACGGGAACAGAGUGGUGGCUCUGCACAGCGCUGGACUCCUGACCUUCUGGGCUCCAAAUGAAGAUGCUGGCAUCAGAUUUGAGCUUUUUAAAUGUUCCAUCCCAGGAGUGAGGUUGACGUUAUUCCUCCCUGGAUCUUAGCAGAGCUGCUAUCUAGGAAGAACACUUAAAAAGGCCCCCGAAAUGCUCUCUUGGAGAUGGAAGAAGGAGAGGAGAAUGAAGUGGGCCGAUGCGAAGGUGACGACCAGACGGGUGGAUGGAUGACAGAGGGCAGAGCCAUGGUGGCGGAGGACAGCGUGGGCUGGUGCUGCACUCAUCAGUUCCGUGAGCACCGUGUUCCGUGGACGGGACCACGGGGAUGAGCAGGAAGUGGCGUGAGGGGAGGAGAUGCUUAGAAUUGAGCAAGUUUGGCAGCAUUUAAAUCCCCAAACCCUUUCAAUUCUGCAUCAGAAGAGAUGAUGAGAGGCCCUUUGGUCAUUCUUUGGUCUGCAAGCGCAGCCACACACUGUCCCUAAGACAAGAACAGUCGUAGCCCAGCCUUGGAGUUUCACCAUACGGCCAGCAUGGGUCAGGGUGUCUUAACACACACGAACGUGUUGAGUCAUCAUUGUCCGAAUUAGGGACUGUUACGAUCUCCAUUUUAUAGAGAAAGAUAGGGAGGCAUCGAGAGGACAAGUAACUUGCCCUGUGCCACAAGCUAGUGAGAGAGGAGCACAAGAUUCUGGCUUCUAAGUCCGUGCUUUCAACCUCUGGGCUCUCCUGCUCUGCAUAAAGAUGUGCCCAGAUCAGUUAAACCUCACACAAAAAAGAAAAUCUACAGUUCCCUCAAUAACAGGUAAUUUAUUUUGCGUGGAUCAAAUUCCUCUGUGUUCUCCUUGCUGAUGCUGUACUUGAAGAUCGCUGAAAGGCUGCUGACUGGUAUUCUCAGCUUUACAUACUUUCUCUCAACUCAGAAGUUAAGUUAUAGUCAGUAUGUGAGUGUUAAUUGCUGGGUUGACCAGGGAUAGACAGUGCUCUCCCCGGUGUCUGUUAGUAACUCGGCUCUGGCCCCUCCUUCAAAGGUCUCUGCUCCAUACAGGACACAAGGUAGAACCUGAUUUUCCUUCAUUUCUGCCUUAAUUGGUUCCUAGCCAGGGUUUUCCCUUGAGAAAACUUGAAAGGAGCAAUAGAAUCUUUAGUCUCCUGAGGCAGAUUCAUAGCAGAACUGAGAGUCUCAUUGGUCCAGUGUGGACUCUUGAUAUCAGUCAGUGCUCACUAGAGAGACAGAUUUAAUGCAAGAUGCACUGAUAUAGGAUUUACAAGGUAGACUUACAGCGGCCACCUGCAGUCAGGGAUGGAAGAGUGCAAAAGGCAUCUGCACACUGGGGAGCUGGAGGAUCCAGUCAAACAUUGAAGACCUGGAGCUACUGGUGAGUCCUAUGAGAGUCCAUAUGACGGUCUGCAGUGGAAGGCUGAAGAGGCUUUCCUGGGGACGACAUCCACAGUGCAGGUGGGGCCUGGAGCUCCUCUGAAGAAACAUUUAAUUUUAUUCCAUCCAGCUUAAAGCCUACUGAAACCUAUUGGUUGGUGCCACUCACACCCAGGGUGGUCUUCUGUCCUCAGUAAAUCCCUUCAGCCACACCCAGAACCAUGCUGAUCCAGUGAGUCAGGCGUUUCCUACUUAAAUUGACACGACAGUCAACCUCACACUCUUUAAGGUCCAGUGCCACACCAGGGGUGCGAUUUCCAGCACUGCUGCCUGACAUCAGACACUGAAAGGCACUGGUGAUGGGAAGCCCACACUUAGCCUUCCUGUUUGCAGCUGAAGUCGCUCUGUUCAUAUAACCACAAGGGUUAGGGCACAGCUGAUGCCAAGUCUCAGCUAAUGUCCAUUGGGUCCGCUGGCCGAGGCUGAUUUUGUUGCUUGGGUCUUCAGCAUUUCUACAGUGGUGCACGCUUUCUGGAGGGUGCUAAACAUGGCGCCUUUAUCUUCAGACAUGGUGCCCACUAUAGCGUCUAAAGCCUCAUGCUUCCAGACCUGAAUUUUUUUUAAUAGACUUAAUGUUUAGGGCUACUUUAAGUUCAGAGUAAAAGUAACCGAAUAGUACAGUGAUGCCCAUGUGCAUAGCCUCUCCCAUUCUCCACACCCCUGUGAGUUCUCUGUUCUCAUAAUUGAUGAGCAUCCAUCCACACAUCAUCAUGCCCUGUCUAUAAUUUACAUUAGGGUGCACUCUAGUGCUGUACACUGUAUGGGCUUUGAUAAACAUAUUGUGAUGCAGCUUCACUAUGGGUGUGGUCUUCCUGCUUUAAAUAUCCUUUGUAUUCUGCAUAUUUAUCCCUCUCUACCUCUGUCAAUCACUGAUCUUUUUACUGUCCCCCUGUUUUGCCUUUGACAGAGUGUCACAUAAUCAGAAUUAUAGAACAUGUACAAUUUUCAGGUUGGCUUCUUUCAUGGAUUAAGAGGGAUUUAAGCUUUUUCUAUUUUUUUAUGGCUUGAUAGCUCAUUUCUUUUUAACAGUGAAUAAUACUCCAAUAUCUGGAUUCACCAUUUAUCUGUUCCUCUACUGGGGGACAUACUGGUUGUUUCUGCAUUUUAGCAGUUAUGAAUAAAAGUGCUAUAAGCAUCCA